GAACGAAGGCUUCGGCCUUAGUGGCGCACGGGUGCGUAACGCGUGGGAAAUCUGCCCUUGGGUUCGGAAUAACAGUUAGAAAUGACUGCUAAUACCGGAUGAUGACGUAAGUCCAAAGAUUUAUCGCCCAGGGAUGAGCCCGCGUAGGAUUAGCUAGUUGGUGAGGUAAAGGCUCACCAAGGCUACGAUCCUUAGCUGGUCUGAGAGGAUGAUCAGCCACACUGGGACUGAGACACGGCCCAGACUCCUACGGGAGGCAGCAGUGGGGAAUAUUGGACAAUGGGCGAAAGCCUGAUCCAGCAAUGCCGCGUGAGUGAAGAAGGCCUUAGGGUUGUAAAGCUCUUUUACCCGGGAAGAUAAUGACUGUACCGGGAGAAUAAGCCCCGGCUAACUCCGUGCCAGCAGCCGCGGUAAUACGGAGGGGGCUAGCGUUGUUCGGAAUUACUGGGCGUAAAGCGUACGUAGGCGGUUUAUCAAGUCAGAGGUGAAAGCCCGGGGCUCAACUCCGGAAUUGCCUUUGAAACUGGUAGACUUGAACAUGGGAGAGGUAAGUGGAAUUCCGAGUGUAGAGGUGAAAUUCGUAGAUAUUCGGAGGAACACCAGUGGCGAAGGCGGCUUACUGGACCAUUGUUGACGCUGAGGUACGAAAGCGUGGGGAGCAGACAGGAUUAGAUACCCUGGUAGUCCACGCCGUAAACGAUGAUAACUAGCUGUCGGGGCUCUUAGAGCUUCGGUGGCGCAGCUAACGCAUUAAGUUAUCCGCCUGGGGAGUACGGCCGCAAGGUUA
Molecule: ribosomal RNA, 787 nt
Filed under: uncultured bacterium
Lineage: Bacteria
Description: bacterial SSU rRNA
Rfam family: Bacterial small subunit ribosomal RNA
Source: RNAcentral